UCUCCUGGGUGACGAGCGGCGGCACGGGUGAGUAAUGUCUGGGAAACUGCCUGAUGGAGGGGGAUAACUACUGGAAACGGUAGCUAAUACCGCAUAACGUCGCAAGACCAAAGAGGGGGACCUUCGGGCCUCUUGCCAUCAGAUGUGCCCAGAUGGGAUUAGCUAGUAGGUGGGGUAAUGGCUCACCUAGGCGACGAUCCCUAGCUGGUCUGAGAGGAUGACCAGCCACACUGGAACUGAGACACGGUCCAGACUCCUACGGGAGGCAGCAGUGGGGAAUAUUGCACAAUGGGCGCAAGCCUGAUGCAGCCAUGCCGCGUGUGUGAAGAAGGCCUUCGGGUUGUAAAGCACUUUCAGCGAGGAGGAAGGUGGUGAACUUAAUACGUUCAUCAAUUGACGUUACUCGCAGAAGAAGCACCGGCUAACUCCGUGCCAGCAGCCGCGGUAAUACGGAGGGUGCAAGCGUUAAUCGGAAUUACUGGGCGUAAAGCGCACGCAGGCGGUUUGUUAAGUCAGAUGUGAAAUCCCCGGGCUCAACCUGGGAACUGCAUUUGAAACUGGCAAGCUAGAGUCUCGUAGAGGGGGGUAGAAUUCCAGGUGUAGCGGUGAAAUGCGUAGAGAUCUGGAGGAAUACCGGUGGCGAAGGCGGCC
RNAcentral lists this ribosomal RNA (651 nucleotides) under Serratia sp. (in: enterobacteria). RNAcentral describes it as "bacterial SSU rRNA". It matches the Rfam family "Bacterial small subunit ribosomal RNA", at positions 80 to 726 of the family's 1533-position model. Lineage: Bacteria; Pseudomonadati; Pseudomonadota; Gammaproteobacteria; Enterobacterales; Yersiniaceae. The record is from RNAcentral.